ACAGACGGAUGAACAGAUUAUUUCGACUUCAGACCUUGAGGCAGGAUUGUUUUCUGCAUUUUAAAGGCGCAGGGUGGAGAUGUUGAGGCGAAGGGGCUCAGCAGAAGAGUAUUCUCGGCUCCGAUCUCUUGCGUUACACAGCAGAGCAGCGUGCUCUCAACCAGCCGCUCGGGCUUCCUACAAGAAUGCAGGCCGACAGCCAGAGCAGACCCUGAUCGAUACCAGCGGAGACGCACCUGAGAGGCCGAGGCACCGACAGCUGGUUUCCAUUCCGCCGGAGGGUUAAAUCGUGGCGAGGGACGACUUACUUGUUCGACCUCCUCGAAUUGCACCCACAGGACGAACGCGUUUGAUACGGAAAACGUGGUUUAAAAAGUUGCAUAACGCGAUGUACGCAGGAGGAUAUAUUCGCACAACCACAACAUCUGGCUCAUCGGGCUCACGCAACACACUGGGGCAGGAAGUGGAUUAAGAGCGCCGGCUGGCCCAUUGACGACGAGCGCAGUUGGAAUAUCUGUAAUCGGCACGGCCAAAGAUCUAAUGGAGAUCGUGGCAGCCCCCAGUCCUCCCACAACAGGAAGCUGUUGCAGUGACAAGUCCCCCCCAAAAAGAUCAGAGUUUAUUUGGCACAUUGACUCCGUCAGAGGAUCUGGGCUCAGAAGUUCUGACUCCGAGACGCCAUGUCACAGCACACUAUGACCACAUGUGCACACUGUAGUAGCGUGUGGUGUUCCCCUCGGAUUGUUUGGGAGCGUUUCUGGGUUUUGGAGUUGCCGUGUUUCCUGAGGCCUUGUCUCCUGGCACAUGAUGGCACCGUAGCUGAAAUGAACCACGUGAGAGCUCAAAGGAUUAUAUUCCUUCUGUCGCUCACGUUGUAGAUGGGCGGGAGAAGCUCGACUUAUGGGGAUAAUUCUUUUCCAAUUUGAAUGCAGCAAAGUUGCUCUGCACAGGCUCACACAAAGAAAGAAAAGGUCUGUGAAGAUUCCAACACCGUGUUAACGUGACUGAGAUCGUUACGUUAUCUUUGAACAGCUGUAGCAUAUCUAGGUUAUUUGCCAGGUCCAGACUGGCUCAACUUUUAUUGGAGCACAGAUCGAAAUGGGGCGGGACUUUGGACAGG
Molecule: long non-coding RNA, 1120 nt
Organism: Gasterosteus aculeatus aculeatus (three-spined stickleback)
Lineage: Eukaryota; Metazoa; Chordata; Actinopteri; Perciformes; Gasterosteidae
Source: Ensembl